UCUCCGUUGGUGAACCAGCGGAGGGAUCAUUACAGAGUUGCAAAACUCCCAAACCAUUGCGAACAUUACCUAUCCCGUUGCUUCGGCGGGCGGCCCGGGCCCCGCGCCCGGCGCCCCCCGGCCCCCCGUGGGCGCCCGCCGGAGGUAAACCAAACCCUUGAAUUGCAUGGCCUCUCUGAGUCUUCUGUACUGAAUAAGUCAAAACUUUCAACAACGGAUCUCUUGGUUCUG
This 231-nucleotide unclassified non-coding RNA is filed under the name plant metagenome. Its description in RNAcentral is "partial contains small subunit ribosomal RNA, internal transcribed spacer 1, and 5.8S ribosomal RNA". The record is from RNAcentral.